Molecule: unclassified non-coding RNA, 2690 nt
Filed under: Ceratitis capitata (Mediterranean fruit fly)
Lineage: Eukaryota; Metazoa; Arthropoda; Insecta; Diptera; Tephritidae
Description: protein drumstick, transcript variant X2
Source: RNAcentral
UCGCAGCGCAGCACAGUGCUCGCAAAUGAGUAGCCGCUGUCGCCGCCGCAGCAGCAGAGGCAGCAGUUGGCAUGCAACGUCGGCACUUUCGCACCAAAUUGUAAGUAGGUAGUAACGUACAUAUCUCAUUGAAGAAGUCAUCUUCGUGCCUUACCGACGUGCUUGUUCCACAGACCGUAAUCUGUAGCAGAGUAGUAAGCAACCGUUUAUUUUCGUCUCGCAGUUAGUUAAAUUGCAUUGUCGUAUACAUACACGUAGUUUACAUACCUACAUGCAAUACAAUAAACGCAUAAAUAACACACAUGCAUACAUACGCGUACUAAUUACAGCUGAAAACGUAAAAUACCUGUGUAUACAUUGCCAAAGUGUUAACUAGUUUGCAACGUUAAGUUGAAUCGAUCUUUAAUUUUUCUGAAAAAAUAUAUUUAAUUUAACGCGUACUUUUUUGUUGUGUUGAGUGCUUGUCGCAAGCCAGAAAUAUUUAUUUCGCAUCUGGAUCACGAAUAUUCCACAGGAAUUCCGUCCAUAAAAGAAUCAGCCCACCAAAGCCAACGCCAACGCCAACGCCUACAAACAUAUGCUCACACACACACACACACACACAAAGUGAAGUGCAGUUGUAUGAGUAGUUGGCAGCAAAAAUAGCAGCGAGAAGGUGUUGAAACAACAACAAAUUGUGUAGUAAAUAACAACAACAACGCGUGCCGUACAAAUAUUAACACGACAGUCAAUGUACAUACAUAUGUAUAUGUAUAUGAGAGUACAUCAUAAAAAGUAGCAACAGCAACGGCAACACACAUCGUGUAAACGACUACUAAAACGUUGAUAAAACAACAACAACAACAACAGCAACAACAGCGGCGACAGUUAAAAAUUGAGUUUGCGAUUAGCAAGUAAAUUAAAGCGUCAAAGCCUAGCAUUCUAAAUCACUUCGCUGCCUGCACCGCAUACAGUUACAAAAGCAACAAACAUCGCUACAAAAUUACUUUAAAAACUACGCCAGCCCACCCCGUGCAUAGUAGAAAAAGUGCUCUUUUUCUCUAGUGUAGAUAUCAAACUCUUAUCGCUCGCAAUCGCACCAAUACAUCAACGGCACCUAGUACCAAUACAUACGUGUACAUACAUGCAUAGCAGCUGCCACGAAUAACAACAAUUUUACUGCCCACCACACUGUGUGACCAACCCCACCACGAUUACACGCACCACUUACCGCUUGGUAAGUAGUAAAAAAGCGAGUGACGAGCAUACGAGCGCAACGAUAACUCAAACGCUCGCAAUUAACGCGCACUCAGUAGUUGUCAACACGCCGCGCGUCGCACCGACAGUUGAUCUGUGCAUUUGAGAAAAAGCGCUUCAGGCACCGCACGCCGCGCACAGUUGCCGCCAACAAGUGUUCGAAAAGCGCAAGCGAGUGCGAGUAAUUAGCUCCCCCGCUUGCUGAUCGAUUAACGGUAAUAUAGAAACUACUUGGGUUUCAUUUAACUUGUGGGACGUACGUCCGAGCGAGUGUGCAUAGCAAAAUUGCCAGUGUGAUUUGUGAGCGCUGAGCGUAAAAUUCGCUAAUCAGCAAGUCAAGCGCGUACAAAAAAAAAAAAAAAUCAAAAGAUAUAAAUACAAAUACAGUGACACCCCAAAGUCACAUAUACAAGUACAUUUAUAGUGCAGCAGCAGCGGCAGCAACAGCAAGAGCAAAGCCAAAAGCAACGACAAAAUGUUCGCUGUAAUGAGAAUCGACAACGAUGACUGCCGGUCGGAUUUCCGCCGCAAGAUGCGUCCAAAGUGUGAGUUCAUUUGCAAAUAUUGCCAGCGGCGUUUCACCAAACCCUACAAUCUGAUGAUACACGAACGCACCCACAAAUCACCGGAGAUAACGUAUUCCUGCGAGGUUUGCGGCAAAUAUUUCAAGCAACGCGACAACCUGCGUCAACACAGAUGUAGUCAAUGUGUAUGGCGAUAAACAGCAAAAAAAAAACUAAAAAAAUAAAAAAUAAAAUCGCCUGCUCAAGUUUAAGCACUUCUCCUCUCAUGCACUUAAAUUUAAAAAAGAAAAAAUAAGCAAUAUGCAAAAAACAUCUUACAUACAUAAAUCAAAAGCACAGCGAAGAUAUAGAAAAAUUUAAAGCACAAACGCACGCACGCCUACAUAUAUGUAAAGAAAAUGCACGCACUAUUUGCGAAACAACCACAAUAAAAAAAGAUUAAAUUAAUAAAUUAAAAAAGAAACAGAAAUAUGAAGAAGGCUUUAUACUGCAAAGGCUUUUGAGCUUAAGAUGGAAACUAGCUACUCUGGUCUUCUCUGGUUGGUGAAAGGUGACACUUUGGCUUACAAAUGGUUUAAAUGAAAACGAAAAAGAAAACUCUUUUGGUGAUUGGUUUGGUUUUAUUGACAGCAACGCCCGCGGCUAGUUAAUGGAAGGAAGUCCUGUAAAUAUAUACAUAUGUAUGUACUUUAGUGCCGAGGCAUUGACUGGCAACUUGUAUGCACAUGGAUACCUGUGGACGCAUUUACUAAACAACAAAAACAAAUUUAAUGAUUAAACAAGGCAAAUAUGAUGUUGAGAUUUUGAAAUUUUUCCAAAAGAAAGUGCAUAAUAGAAUUAUCAUAAAUUGAAAUAAACUAUACACUCACCAAGCGUGCUUACGCUCAUUACUUACACAAUUUCUUGCUAAAAUAAAUUCGAAAAAAAAAA